Molecule: ribosomal RNA, 822 nt
Filed under: uncultured bacterium
Lineage: Bacteria
Description: bacterial SSU rRNA
Rfam family: Bacterial small subunit ribosomal RNA
Source: RNAcentral
CGGUGAAGAGUGGCGAACGGGUGAGUAAUACAUAAGUAACCUGGCAUCUACAGGGGGAUAACUGAUGGAAACGUCAGCUAAGACCGCAUAGGUGUAGAGAUCGCAUGAACUCUAUAUGAAAAGUGCUACGGGACUGGUAGAUGAUGGACUUAUGGCGCAUUAGCUGGUUGGUAGGGUAACGGCCUACCAAGGCGACGAUGCGUAGCCGACCUGAGAGGGUGACCGGCCACACUGGGACUGAGACACGGCCCAGACUCCUACGGGAGGCAGCAGUAGGGAAUUUUCGGCAAUGGGGGAAACCCUGACCGAGCAACGCCGCGUGAAGGAAGAAGUAAUUCGUUAUGUAAACUUCUGUCAUAGAGGAAGAACGGUGGAUAUAGGGAAUGAUAUCCAAGUGACGGUACUCUAUAAGAAAGCCACUGCUAACUACGUGCCAGCAGCCGCGGUAAUACGUAGGUGGCGAGCGUUAUCCGGAAUUAUUGGGCGUAAAGAGGGAGCAGGCGGCACUAAGGGUCUGUGGUGAAAGAUCGAAGCUUAACUUCGGUAAGCCAUGGAAACCGUAGAGCUAGAGUGUGUGAGAGGAUCGUGGAAUUCCAUGUGUAGCGGUGAAAUGCGUAGAUAUAUGGAGGAACACCAGUGGCGAAGGCGACGAUCUGGCGCAUAACUGACGCUCAGUCCCGAAAGCGUGGGGAGCAAAUAGGAUUAGAUACCCUAGUAGUCCACGCCGUANACGAUGAGUACUAAGUGUUGGGAGUCANAUCUCAGUGCUGCAGUUAACGCAAUAAGUACUCCGCCUGAGUAGUACGUUCGCAAGAAUGAAAC